RNAcentral lists this ribosomal RNA (253 nucleotides) under uncultured bacterium. Its description in RNAcentral is "partial 16S ribosomal RNA". It matches the Rfam family "Bacterial small subunit ribosomal RNA", at positions 524 to 776 of the family's 1533-position model. The record is from RNAcentral.
UACAGAGGGUGCGAGCGUUAAUCGGAAUUACUGGGCGUAAAGCGCGCGUAGGCGGCUUUGCAAGUCGGGUGUGAAAUCCCCAGGCUUAACCUGGGAACUGCAUUCGAGACUGCAUUGCUAGAGUAUGGGAGAGGGAAGUGGAAUUUCCGGUGUAGCGGUGAAAUGCGUAGAGAUCCGGAGGAACGCCGGUGGCGAAAGCGGCCACCUGGGUCUGACCUGACGCUGAGGUGCGAAAGCGUGGGGAGCAAACCGG